This 450-nucleotide ribosomal RNA is filed under the name marine sediment bacterium ISA-2652. RNAcentral describes it as "bacterial SSU rRNA". It matches the Rfam family "Bacterial small subunit ribosomal RNA", at positions 20 to 466 of the family's 1533-position model. The record is from RNAcentral.
UGGCUCAGAUUGAACGCUGGCGGCAGGCCUAACACAUGCAAGUCGAGCGGUAACAUUUCUAGCUUGCUAGAAGAUGACGAGCGGCGGACGGGUGAGUAAUGCUUGGGAACAUGCCUUUAGGUGGGGGACAACAGUUGGAAACGACUGCUAAUACCGCAUAAUGUCUACGGACCAAAGUGGGGGACCUUCGGGCCUCACGCCUAAAGAUUGGCCCAAGUGGGAUUAGCUAGUUGGUGAGGUAAUGGCUCACCAAGGCGACGAUCCCUAGCUGGUUUGAGAGGAUGAUCAGCCACACUGGGACUGAGACACGGCCCAGACUCCUACGGGAGGCAGCAGUGGGGAAUAUUGCACAAUGGGCGCAAGCCUGAUGCAGCCAUGCCGCGUGUGUGAAGAAGGCCUUCGGGUUGUAAAGCACUUUCAGUAAGGAGGAAAGGUUGGAUGUUAAUAGCA